CUACCAUGGCUUUCACGGGUAACGGAGGAUUAGGGUUCGAUUCCGGAGAGGGAGCCUGAGAAACGGCUACCACAUCUAAGGAAGGCAGCAGGCGCGUAAAUUACCCAAUUCUGACUCAGAGAGGUAGUGACAAGAAAUAACGGGUCGGGACUUUGUCCCGGGACUGCAAUGAACCGAAUCUACACACCUUAGCCAGCAACAAUUGGAGGGCAAGUCUGGUGCCAGCAGCCGCGGUAAUUCCAGCUCCAAUAGCGUAUAUUAAAGUUGUUGCAGUUAAAAAGCUCGUAGUUGGAUUUCUGGCAGGGUGCCUGUGCCCUAAGCUUAGUGUGCACAGAUGCCUUUCCAUCCUUCUGUUAACCUUGGAGGCUUUUACGGCUUCCCUGGGGCUCAGAUAUUUUACCUUGAGAAAAUUAGAGUGUUUCAGGCAGGCUAGCGCCGGAAUACAUUAGCAUGGAAUAAUAGAAUAGGACAUUUGCCUCUUCUGUUGGUCAUGGGGUUUAUGUAAUGAUUAAUAGGGAUAGUUGGGGGCAUUAGUACUUCACUGUCAGAGGUGAAAUUCUCGGAUUUGUGAAGGACUAACUUAUGCGAAAGCAUUUGCCAAGGAUGUUUUCAUUAAUCAA
RNAcentral lists this ribosomal RNA (620 nucleotides) under Ciliophora sp. RNAcentral's name for it is "SSU rRNA". It matches the Rfam family "Eukaryotic small subunit ribosomal RNA", at positions 341 to 980 of the family's 1831-position model. Lineage: Eukaryota; Ciliophora. The record is from RNAcentral.